UACAGAGGUCCCAAGCGUUGUUCGGAUUCAUUGGGCGUAAAGGGUGCGUAGGCGGCGCGGUAAGUCGGGUGUGAAAUCUCGGAGCUUAACUCCGAAACUGCAUUCGAUACUGCCGUGCUUGAGGACUGGAGAGGAGACUGGAAUUUACGGUGUAGCGGUGAAAUGCGUAGAUACCGUAAGGAAGACCAGUGGCGAAGGCGGGUCUCUGGACAGUUCCUGACGCUGAGGCACGAAGGUCAGGGGAGCAAACGGG
This 253-nucleotide ribosomal RNA is filed under the name uncultured bacterium. Its description in RNAcentral is "partial 16S ribosomal RNA". It matches the Rfam family "Bacterial small subunit ribosomal RNA", at positions 524 to 776 of the family's 1533-position model. The record is from RNAcentral.